This is a non-coding RNA of Potamilus streckersoni, 77 nucleotides long. NCBI's taxonomy places the organism in Eukaryota, Metazoa, Mollusca, Bivalvia, Unionida, Unionidae. The record is from the annotation of a GenBank genome assembly.
GACCGCUUUGUUGGUCUAGUGGUUAGAGCGUCCGCCUUAGAUGCAGGAGGUCGCGGGUUCGAACCCCGUCCGAGUCA